Molecule: small nucleolar RNA, 135 nt
Organism: Fukomys damarensis (Damara mole-rat)
Lineage: Eukaryota; Metazoa; Chordata; Mammalia; Rodentia; Bathyergidae
Gene: SNORA70
Rfam family: Small nucleolar RNA SNORA70
About the family: snoRNA U70 seems to be exclusive to mammals and is a member of the H/ACA class of snoRNA which contain H (ANANNA) and ACA box motifs.
Source: Ensembl
CUGCAGUCAGUGAAGCCACCUGGGUUCCUUGGAUGGUGGAUGCCCAGAGAGCAGUGGCUGUGAACUGCAGCCUUCUCAGUAGUGUAUGCAGCCUGGUGCUUGUAUGUGCCACCCUAAGGGACCUUAGAGACACCA